UACGUAGGGUGCAAGCGUUAAUCGGAAUUACUGGGCGUAAAGCGUGCGCAGGCGGUUUUGUAAGUCAGAUGUGAAAUCCCCGGGCUUAACCUGGGAACUGCGUUUGAAACUACAAGGCUAGAGUGUGGCAGAGGGGGGUGGAAUUCCACGUGUAGCAGUGAAAUGCGUAGAGAUGUGGAGGAACACCGAUGGCGAAGGCGGCGACCUGGGUAGAUACUGACGCUGAGGUGCGAAAGCGUGGGGAGCAAACAGG
This 253-nucleotide ribosomal RNA is filed under the name uncultured bacterium. Its description in RNAcentral is "partial 16S ribosomal RNA". It matches the Rfam family "Bacterial small subunit ribosomal RNA", at positions 524 to 776 of the family's 1533-position model. The record is from RNAcentral.